GGCGGGAUGAAGCGAGGAUUAGCCUAAUUAAUAAUUAGUAGGUCGGGGGUUCGAUUCCUCUUUCCGGCACCA
Molecule: transfer RNA, 72 nt
Filed under: Candidatus Competibacteraceae bacterium
Lineage: Bacteria; Pseudomonadati; Pseudomonadota; Gammaproteobacteria; Candidatus Competibacteraceae
Description: tRNA-Ser
Source: RNAcentral